GACAGAGGGUGCAAACGUUGCUCGGAAUUACUGGGCGUAAAGCGCGUGUAGGCGGACCACCAAGUCGGACGUGAAAGCCCUGAGCUCAACUCAGGAACUGCAUCCGAAACUGGCGGUCUGGAGUAGUGGAGAGGAAAGCAGAAUUCCUGGUGUAGAGGUGAAAUUCGUAGAUAUCAGGAGGAACACCGGUGGCGAAGGCGGCGACCUGGUCCGAUACUGACGCUGAGGCGCGAAAGCGUGGGGAGCAAACAGG
Molecule: ribosomal RNA, 253 nt
Filed under: uncultured bacterium
Lineage: Bacteria
Description: partial 16S ribosomal RNA
Rfam family: Bacterial small subunit ribosomal RNA
Source: RNAcentral